UUUUUUUUUUGGUAAUUAAAAAGUUGUAUUAAUCACCAAAGAGAUUUCAGUAUAAAGCCAUAGUGCAGCUAUUACACAGCUGACUAUCAUAUCUAAAUUCUAUAUCAACUAUCGCUAAGUUGUAUUAAUCACCAAAGAUAUUUCAGUAUAAAGCCAUAGUGCAUCUAUUACACAGCUGACUAUCAUAUCUAAAUUCUAUCAACUAUCGCUAUACCUAUCCCUCUAUUUACAGAAGAUAUUGCUGAAGCUGUAAUCUAACCUUGGGGGUACCUCUAAUAUUACAAGUAUAAGCAAUGGUCCUAAGUAGUUUAUCAGUGCUACAAAAGACAUUUUCAAAGAUCCUCGCAUUUGUUUCUAACCAUAAGGCAUAGAAGAGUUCAGCUACAACCAUUUUGAAUAUAUGAGCCCGGCUCGAUUUCUCUUUAGCAUUACCAAUAAUCCAUUGAAGAAAUUGUUCCCAAUUUAGGAAAUUGGGGUGAGUUUCCCUAAUCCAAGACAGUGUCUGAUGCCUUAGCUGAAUAGCAAAGGGACAGCUAUGUAAGAGGUGAUCUCUGGUCUCCGGGGCUUGCUGGCACAACACACAGAUGCUAUCUACAUUCAUACUUUCACUUUUUCUUUUCUUUUUUUACUUAUUUAUUCUUGUUCUUGUUUUAAUGAAUUUUUUCUUUUUCUUUUAAUUAUUUAUGGUCAAAAUAUACAUAUUCACACACAUUAUCCGUGUGAAUAUACUCACUUUGUUCAACUCAGCUCUGAUGUUGCCACAUAUGAUCGGUCAACGGUUAGAGGGGUUUAAAAUAUAAGUUUUGAGCAAGUAUAAGUGCCCAAUUGACAAAAUGCUGAGUUUGGGGACCGGAAUGACAAAGUGGCACAAGUAUAAGUGUGAUUUAAGCUAUAUUGCCUUUCUAUAAAGAUAACUUACUUCGUCGUUGCCAUAAUUACAUAACCACUUUUGGUGGGGGGNNNNNNNNNNNNNNNNNNNNNNNNNNNNNNNNNNNNNNNNNNNNNNNNNNNNNNNNNNNNNNNNNNNNNNNNNNNNNNNNNNNNNNNNNNNNNNNNNNNNNNNNNNNNNNNNNNNNNNNNNNNNNNNNNNNNNNNNNNNNNNNNNNNNNNNNNNNNNNNNNNNNNNGGGGGGGGGGGGGGGGGGGGAAUGUAUUGCACAUAUAAAAGGAAAAGAGAAUGACUUGAUUUGUAUCACUUGGCCAUAUGAGAUCUGCAUUUAGAAAUAUUUCGAUCUCGAUGUAUAUUCUGUCUACAAUAUUUUCUCCGCCUUCAACUUAGUUACAAAAAGCUGCAAUAGUAACUAGUUCCAAGUUACUGGGAAUUUUGUCUCUUUGAGGUAUUCUCUUAUUUUGAACCAUUAACAAAGUGAUAAUUUUCCAAUAAACGAGGAUUAUACAUAUAACAACAACAACAACAACAACAAAAAUUGAGUGAAAUUUUACAAAUGGGAUCUAGAGAAAAAAGAGAGUACGCAGACCUUACCCCCACCCCAAGAGAGUAGAGAGGCUGUAUUCAAAAGGCUUUCGACUCGAAAAGAUGAAAAGAAUCAAAUACAUCAAUACCAUCAUCGAAAAAUAUAAAAAUAAUAACAGCGACAUAAGAACCAAAAAAUAAAUGAAAAGCAAUAUUAAGAGAAUUAUACAUACAUAUAUUCAUAUUCCAAAUAUGAUGAAAUAUAUCUAUAAAAAACUAGAUGUAUUUGAUAAGCGACUUGAAUUCGUGAAAGAAUAUUUUAGGAAAACAAUACAUUUCUCUCUCUAGAACGAACUUUUAUCUCAGCCAUAGCUGAAAAUGACGAGGAAAUCAAAGACUAGAGGGGGAGGGUUGAACAUGCAGGAAUCAAAUCCAAGUAAUGUGAAUGAAACAAGAGAAAUUCCAUAAUCAACUGAUGCGAAGAAAACUCGAAGCCUCAAUGUACUGCAGGGAAUACAGCCAUUAGACUUGAGUCAAUCUCCUAUCAAUAGAACAGUAACUAGAAGCAAUGGUGGGAAGAAACAGGUUGAGACGCGUAAUUCAUGGGCAGAUAAGGUGGAGGAAGAAGCGGAAAAGCUGAAGGGUGCAGGGGAAACAAGCCCUAAGUCAUGGAGCAAAAUUGUAGCCAGUCUAAUUUAUGAAGUGUGAGCACGUAAUUUUUGACAUAUAUAUGAAUUAUUCCCAAAAAAUCAAACAAAACAAUUUUCUUAUUUUACAAUUUUUUGUGAAUUUUUGUGUGUUAUUUUCUCGUAACUAUUGCAUUUUAUCUAUGAAUUUUAGUUCAUAUGAAAAACAUAAAAAUACAUUUGCAUUUAGGAUCUAAUUUUAUAUUAUAGAUUUAAUUAGGAGUUAAUUUAUAUUAGAACAAAAUAUGAAGAAAAUAAAAAAAAUAGUUUAUUUUUUGUAUUUUUAAUUGUUUAAUUGCGAAUUCAUCGCACAAUAGUUUUUUAAAAAAACUAGGAAUUACUUAUUUAAUUUUUAAAAUAUAUUGGAUCUUUGUUUUAAUUUUUUGCAUUUUAUAAAAUAAAAAAUACAAAAAAAUAAAUACAAAAAAUAAACAAAAUAAAUAAAAAAAUGAAAAAACAAAAGCAACAAAAAGAAGGUUGUCUUCUAAAACAACCUGAAUUUGGGCCAAAUUUCUAAGCCCAAAAUAAAAUUGUCCCAGGCAGUCCAAACCCAAUUCCCCACCCGGUUCAAAGCCUUGCCCUCCCAAAACGACGCCAUUUCGCGUCGAUUAAUCCAGGAUGUCUAGGUUGAGGCGUUCUACGACUAGGAACUACUCCCAAUUUAUCAUAUAAUUGUCCUAAAAGCCUAGCUCCCUCUUCGCUUACCCCAUCAGUUGCCUUCACCAAAGAACCCCAACCUCAAGAACCCUAAAUCGAGCCGCCACCGAUUCCAACCGCCAGCGAUGGAGGUGCCACCAAAAAGAGCCCGAAAAUAACACCCCACGAUUGCCUCACUACCCUCAUCUCGAAUCCCUUGUCACCUUCCCUCGAAUCAUCACCAGAUUCUUCGAAUCUUAAUUCGAAAAUCCGGCCAAAAUGCUAAAGUGUCCAAACCCACCCAAAAUCACGCCCCAUAGUCCCUUGAACACCCUCAACCUAAAUCAUAAGCCAAGAACCUUCGAAUCUUAUAGGAACUGGACGAAUUGCGGACCUGGGGUUCAGGGUUCGAACCUGUUCUGGGGGAUUUCAAGGCGUCGAGCUGAUUUUUAAAUUGACGCUAUAUGUUUUACAUAUAACAUCAAUUAAAAAAUCAAAUUCGAUGAAUUAGUCAGAUGAAAGUAUAUAAGUGAGUUUUUGUUCUUAGUUUUAACUUUUGUUUAAUUUCGUUUUAAUUUUGUUCGGUUUUAUUCGUGUUAUUGGUCCUUGUUUUUUGCCACAUUUUAUUUCUGAUUAUUGAUUCCAUGUUUUUAUCAGUUCUGUGUUUCGCCUUCAUUUUUCUUUAAUCGUCGAUACUGAAUCAUGUGUUAGUUCAUGUGUUUCAUUUGUUUAGCUUAGUUUAGUCCGGUAGUGAGUAGUCUUUAUGAUUCAAUUUGAAUUUUUGUUUUGCUUAAGCCCGGUUCCUAUUAAUACUGUUAUGUUUAGUUUGUUGCUUCAUGAUCGAUUGCAUUCUUACUUGGUUUAGUUUGUUAUGUGGUAAUUAGAUUUUGUUUUGUUGAAUUUUGAUUUACUAGCUAAACACUAGAAUAGUUUUCUUGUUAAUAGUUCCCUGAUUUGGUAGAUUGAUCUUAGCCUGGUUAGUUUAUUUUGAUUGUUAGGAGUUCUGUUAGUUUUUAGGUGGAUUGACUAUAAUUGUUUUGUUUUUUUUACUAAUUUUAGUUUAGUCAAAGGAAUGGUGGUUUAAUUGUGGCCCAGGUGAGUAAUUUCAAAGGCAUUCAGGGGUAUUUGGAUACUUAAGGUUGGGCAGAAAUGUUGUAGAUUAUGUUUGAAGUUCCUACAACCUUCUAAAUUGGGGUACAAUUUAGAAUUUCAGGAAGCCCCAUAGUAUGACUUGAAAAUCAAGUCACAACUUUAGGGACACUUCAGCAACAAUGAAAAUUUAAAAAGGAUUAGACUCAAAAACUGAAAAUCUGAUGGUUGACCUCAUUGUGCCUAUAAAAGGGCAUCAUUGAUGCCUUGAAACACAAGUUUUGGAAGCCCAAAAAUUCUCCCAAAAAUAGUUUCUCUAUAUGUUAAUUUCAACUUUUGGUUGUUGAUUUGUUGAUUUUCCAGUUUAGUUUCUAUCUGGUUUAAGAGAUCCACUGGUUUGGUUUCGAUUGGUUUUGGUCUCAAUUGGGUUAUUCUGGGUCAGCUCUUGGGUUAUAUGCUUCUGUGAUAUAUUUUGGUGCAUUUACAAGCAUAUAUGGGUUCACUCGAGUGAUUGUUGGUCGGUUUUGAUUACUGGAGAAAUCCUGUAGUUUCUAGGUCAAGUUUGUAUUUGAUUGCUUGGAUUUUUGUUUGGUUUCAAACUCCCCUUAGUCACUGAAGUGAUUUCUGGAUGAUUGAUUUCUGCUCAAAGCUGUUGUUGCUGAGUGAUUCUGCUUCUUCCUAUUUCUAAAUUCUUGGUACACAGCUAUAAUUUUGGCACUUGUAAGAUGAAAACGUGAAGGUUGAAUAUACGUGAAGAGUUGAAAUUCUUAUUUGUUUCUCUAUGAUUUGUGUAUUUAAACUUUUCAUUCAUUGAUAAUAUGUAAAUCCCUAUUUGUUUUGUGGUAAGUGGACUGAGAUGGAGUAGUAUGAGAGAUUUUAAAUACAGUUCACACCGAUACAUGUUAGCAUCUGUUAAUCGAUUUUUGUAGUUAAAAGUGAGCUUGUUGUACUGUUGAAUUAGUCUAGACUGUGAUUGCACAUUAUGUUCGACUAGUUCUGAAUAUCAUUUUUCAUACUAAUUGCUAAUUCAGGAGGUGCUACAUCGAUUGAAAGGAAAAAUAAAGUGUAAAACGUAACUAGUUCUGGAAUUUGGUUAGAGCACUGGUUGUAGGCAUUAGCUCUGAUUUUAGCUACUAACUAAUUGUGUUGUUUAAUCAUUGAUCUCUCAAAAGUGUUGUUAAGAGUUCAUUAGUUUAUACACAGGAAUAUAUAGGUCAAACUAAUAGUAGGAUAACUUCAUUCAGUAUUUGCUAGGUCUAAUUUGAGGACCACUUCUAACUAGGAAGCAUAUUGCAUGCUGAAAUUCACAACUGAAAUCUCUGGUAUGGUCAGUCAUUGGGGAAAAUUGAAAGGGGGCUCUCUUAAUUGGCAUUGGAAUGUUCCACGCCCAAUGGGCCCAAACUCGAGCAGGUGCUAGUCUGUUCUACCAACUGAUAUUGGGGUUAACCCGAGAAAUAGAAACCACCAUCAAUAGCAGAAUUUCGUAGGAUAUCCUUUUAAAAAUAAAAUGAGACGAGCCUCGCCAAAUAGAACAUAUAAUUCCGAGACCCUCAAUAAUUGGUUGUAUUAAAUACGUAGACUUCGGGAUGGACCGUUUAGUGAAUUUCACGGCCUUCCCCAAAGGUAACAAUGCGUUAGACGUUUUAGGCGCAAUUUUAAUAAUAUUACAAUUCUAAACUCUUGUGCGCAUUUAUGUGACCCAAAUCCAAACCUCAACGAAGUCGAAAUGUGUCGACAACCAUGGGUGCAUUGAUGUGACGUGGUUCAAGACGCAUUUUCACGAGGAUGCAAUUUUUGUUAACAAUAAUGAUUAGAAAAGCGGUAUAAAAUUGAAAGACACAUAAGCUAAACAUGUUUUUAAAUCAGAUAAAAACAAAUACAACAGUUGAGCGACAGUGCUAGAACCACGGAACCCGAGAAUGCCUAACACCUUUUUUCUUGUUAACAGAAUUCCUUACUCGGAUUUCUAGUUCGCGGACUGUUAACAGAGUCAUAAUUUUCCUCGGUUCGGGAUUCAACCGAUCACUUGGGACACCAUUAAUCUCCCAAGUGGUGACUCUGAAAGUUUAAUAAUAAAUCCCAUUUUGAAUGUCCUUUAAAUGGAAAAAAUCCUUUACGCCCUUGUUGAUGUAGUGAAAAAGGAGUUGUGGCAUGAAAGAUUGGACUUAACUCCACAACACCAGGACAACACGAAUGUGAAUACUACAAUGGAGGAUAUAAAGGAGGAACUCGAUUACUGGAGCACAGCUGUGGUAUGUUUAGUACUGGUUAUAACCCUCCCCAAUCAGUAAUGAAAGGGUACUUCCAAAGGAUUUGGGGAUCGUUGGGUAUUGAUAUUAUAGCACUGGCUAAUAGAGGUGUGUUUUUGGUGAGAUUCCAUAGUUGUGAAAGUAAAAUCAAAGUGAUCAAAAAUGGAGUCCAGAUGUUCGACAGAAAGCCAGUGGUGGUAAAACCUUGGAAUCCUGAUAUAAACCUGAAAAAAGAAUCAGUAGACUUGAUACCAAUGUGGAUCAGGUUUGUUGGAUUGGAUAUUAAAUAAGCAGCACUCACAAAAGUGGAAGGUCUAGUAGGGAAACCAUUAAAGGCUUAUCGUGCUACAACACAGAAGGAGAGGCUAACUUUUUCAAGAGUUCUGGUGGAGGUUAAACCUCACCGGAAAUAUCCUAACACUAUCAUGUUUGAGGAUGAAAAAGGCAGAAUAGUGGUGCAGGAGAUUUUCUAUGAAUAGAAGCCAACCUUGUGUGAAAAAUGCAAGAAUUUUGGGCAUGAAAUGAAUGAAUGCAGAAGAUUCAUAAAAGAGGAGAAAGAGAAACAAGCUAGCAAGAAGACUAGUAAUGAGCCAAACAUAGAGAAGCAACUACAAAUGGAAAGACACGAUGGUAAUGAGCAGAACAAAAAUGUGCAAAUAGCAGGAGCAUGGGCAGAUAGUCAGAAGCAAUAAGGGGAAUGAGGUCGUAGCAAAAACAAAUGAUAUGGCAACAACAUUAAGGAGUUGGCAGAAUGUAGUGAUAAGGAAAAUAUGCGAAAGGAAACAACAGGGGGAUCUAAGAACAGAAAAAUCCUUUACUACAUUAGGAGACCAGCAACAGGAGAAGACAGAUGAAAACAACAGGAAGGGGGUGGAAAAUAGAACAAAAAAGGGAAAUGGAGUGAUAAUGGCCCUGGGAAAUGGGCAGGAUGGGGGUAACCCCUCAUCCAAUGGAUAGGAUAGGAUUUUGGAAUUCAAGGGGACUUAAUAGGCCACAUAAACAGACUGAAAUGAAAAUGUUUAUGGACAGCCAAAAAAUUGGGUUGGUUGGUCUCCUGGAAACUAAGAUUAAGAGAGAGAAAGCACAUCAAGCUGCUCUUAAUCUUUGUGGGGGUGGUCCUUUACUUCAAAUUUAGUAAAACUUCUAGGGGCAUGAUUUGGGUUGUAUGGAAACUAGGUGUGUAUGAUGUCAACAUCACAAAUGUCACUGAACAACUUAUCCACAACAUGGUUACUCAUAGGGGGACAGGGAACAAGUUCAAUAUUACAAUAGUGUAUGGGUUCAGCAACCAUAAUAUGAGAAGACAAAUGUGGGAGGAAAUGAAAAGUAUACACCAGCAGAAUAGUGGUCCUUGGGCUAUUAUGGGGGACUUCAACUGUAUACUGAACACUGAAGAAAGAAUAGGUAGCAUGGUGACAUUAGCAGAAAUAUGAUAUUUUAAAAAAAUGUAUGGAGGAGUGUUCUAUGCAGGAUAUGAGGUCCUCCGAAGCAUUCUACACAUGGAGCAAUAAGAAAUCAAGGGGAGAUAGAGUAAUGAGUAGAAUAGAUAGAAUCCUCACAAACUAUGAGUGGCAUACUUAGUUGCCAGCAUCUGGUGUGUUAGUGAUAAUUCGAAUUGGUUUUGGUUCGGAAAUGAGACACUUAGUCUCUUUAAAGAAGGUUUGGUUUUGAAAAGUCAACCAGAUGUUAACUUAUGAGUUAGAAGGUUCAGAUGUGAUUUUCGGUGAUAAACUGGAAGGGAGGGCGACAACAGAAUAAGGGAAGGUUUAAGUACUUCAACAUGUGGAGUGUGGCAUGGGACUUUAAAGAAAGAAUCAAAGAAAAUCGGAAAAGUGAUAUAGGGGGUACACAUAUGCAUCAUCUGGUGGGGAAAAUGCAUAGAAUCAAGAGCACAUUGAAGAAAAUCAACAAGGAGAGAUUCAGUAACAUUGAACAAAGGGCAGAAGAACUAUUGAAUAGACUGAAGCAAUGUCAAAGCCAGGUUUAGCAGGAUCCUAUGAAUGCAGCCUUGAUAGAUGAAGAAGUAAGACUGAAUGAAGAGAGUAGUAAAUGGUCAAAGGCAAGACUCAUGUUCUUGCAGCAGAAGGCUAAGGCACAAUGGCUCAACCAGGGUGAUCAGAACACCAAGUACUUCCAUGGUAUUCUGAAAGCUAGGAAGAAUAACAAUAGAAUAUUCCACAUUAAGGAUAUGAAUGGGAAUGACAUUGAUGGUCCAACAAAGAUCCCAAAGGCAUUUAUAGAGUUCUACACAUAAUUGUUUGAGAAGAAUAUGGAGGAUAUAGAUCAUGUAAAUAGACAAAUCAUCAGACAUGGCCCAAUUGUGAAGGAGGAGCAGAGAAUUGAACUAGGAGCAGAAUUCAGUGACAUAAAGGUGAAGGAAACCCUAUGGGCAAUUGCAGGUGACAAAGAAUAAGGUCCAAAUGGAUUUGGCAGCCAAUUCUAUAAAGAUUGCUGGGAAGUUGUAGGCUCAAAUGUAAAAGAAUGAGUGAUGGAAUUCUUCAAAGAAGGCAAGAUGCUCAAAACCAUCAAAACCACUGUGAUAACCCUUAUACCUAAAGGCUCUCAUGAUGAGGUAGUUGGAGAUUAUAGACCUAUAGCUUGUUGCAACACAAUCUAUAAGGUGAUAUCAAAAAUGCUUUGCAAUAGGCUCAAGAAAGUCUUACCUGGGCUUAUAUCCCCUAAUCAAAGGCCUUUGUGGAAGGCAUGAAUAUUGUUCAUAACAUACUGAUUUGCCAAGAUUUUGUGAGAUUGUACAAAAUAGAAGAAUACAACCAAAAGUUGUUUGAUCAAAGUAAACCUUAGAAAGGCAUAUGAUACUGUGGGGUGGGGGUUUAUGGAAGAAAGGAUGCACUCACUCAAUUUCCCUCACAAGUUCAUAAAGAGGGUAAUGUCUUGCAUAACAACCACACAGUACAAAGUUGCAAUUAAUGGUGGAGUGCAUGGAAAUAUCAUAGGCAAAAGAGGUUUGAGGCAAGGGGGCCUAUUUUACCCUUAUUAUUUUUCAUGUGCAUGGAAUAUCUCUUAAGAAUAGUUGCUGGUACUGGAAGAAAGUAUGCACAUGUAGAGACAAAUUUGUUGUUGGAUUUGUCAACAAUGGCUGACUUAAGCAAGGGGACAAAUACACAAUACAAAGUGGAUACCAAUGGUACAAAUGAGUUGCAGAGAUUAAGCCAUGGUAUCGUGGGGGUAUGGGGUCGAAUGAAUGUGCCAAAACACAGCUUCGCGAGCUGGCUUGCCAUGCACAGGAAACUAUUGACAAAGGAGAGGUUGCAAAAGCUAAAGAUAAACCAAGACAGUGACUGCUUGAUAUGUGGAAGACAUAAGGAAACAAUGGAGCACUUGUUCUUUGAAUGCAAACUUUUAGAGUAGUGCUUGAAGGAUUUGUUGAAGUGGAUGAAAAAGGGCACAACAAAAAUUGACCUCAAAGGUAUAUGGAGGAGAAUAAGUCGAGGAACACAAGGGUUAAGAUGCAGGGAAUUCACAACACCAGUGGUUGCAGCAUUAAUAUACAGAAUAUAGUGGGCAAGAAAUAAAGCAUUAUGGAACAAGCGGGUACCCACAGUAAAGAGUAUAUGUACACAAGUAAAGCAAGAAUGUAAGGCUAGAAUAGUUCCUAUGUUGAACAAAAAAUGUAGUAGAAAAGUAAGAGAAUGGAUAGAUCAAUUGUAUAGAUAUGGAUAGGACAUUAGGGAAGGAAGUAUAGCAAAAUACGGUAUAGGGGAAUAGAGGCAUACAUGAGAGAAUGAGGGAAAGUUUGUUAAGUUCUUGAUUAUUUGUGAAUAAAAGCUUUCUGUUUUACCAAAAAAAAUGAUAAACGGCUUGAUAGUUAUAUGGGUGAAUGAUAGAAAUAUGACACUUCACUGCCACUACUAGUUUUUUGACCCCACCUAUCCUAUUGGCUAAACUUCAAGUUUAUCAAGUAUUGUUACUCUCUUGCCCCAUAAGCAUUACCUUUAACUUUUGAUCUUAAAGAUUUGUCCGUAAGGCAUCCGCAAGUCAAAAAUUAACAGUGACCAUCUUCAAGGUCAUUUGGCAUAGUUUUCUAUAAUUAUAUAUAGACGAUAUCCAAGCUUCAAAGAAGCUUUAAUAAACAUUUGACUCUUAUGGUGAAAUUUAAAAAUAGCCAGCUUUACAAUUGGUCUUUCAAAAUAGACCAGUUGUAAAAGUAAUCAAAAUUUAGCCACUUUUCAUGUAAAGAUAAAUCUGAGCAAAACACUAUUCAUAACCUGAAAAAUACGCCAAUAUAUACUUGAACUCCAACAUAUUAUACUAGAAUUCCAGGAUAACUAUGCUGGAACUCCAGCAUAAUAUGAAGGAGUUCCAGUAUAAGUACACUACAACUUCAGCAUAAUAUACUGGAGUUCCAGCAAGUAUCCCGGUCUAGCAUAAUAUACUGGAUUUUGGAGCACCGGUGCUCCACUCUCCAGUGUAUUAUACUGGAUCCAGCAAAGUGUCACGACCCGAUUCUCCAAACUAGUCGUGAUGGCGCCUCUCAUGAAGACAAGGCCAGCCAACUAACCCAAUUAGACCCCUUCCAAAUAAUUAAACAUAUAUGAAAAGAAAAAUACGAAUUAAGGACAUUCAUUAAUGAAAUUAUCAACUCAACGCAACCCGACCGGGAUGUCACAAAUCAUGAGAAUCUAGAAGAAUUUUUUAUACAAUUACAAUGUCUAAAAUACAUGGAUGUAAUCUGGAAUCAAAAACGAAGAAAUUCGGUGCCGCGAGCGCUGGCGGUCACCUUGCUCUGCUAUGAUAGAAAACCCCAACCAGCUCAACCCGCUACAGGGUAAGUCAAUACCUGCAUCUGCACGCGAGGUGCAGGGAGUAAAGUGAGUACUCUAACUCAAUAAAUAAUAAGGGUAAAUAAUGACUGAAGAGCAAGAAACCAUGUAAAGCAAGUCAUCAUGCUAUAGUACAGUGCAACCCUUUGAGAAAAUAGUGAAAACGUGAAAAUUCAUUAGAAAAUACCUUGACUCAGUUCAAAACCUCUUUUAAAAUAUAUUUUUCCUACAUUUAAGCAAAUGAAUACGGAACAGGUAGUGCAAGUCAGCACAAAAUUCAACCCCUCGGGCACAAAUACCACAGUAUAACAGGUAAAAAGGCAAAUAAGUAUGCAAGAUGAGCACAUAAAAGUUUGCCACUUGGAUAAUAUCUUAAACUGUACCAGCCCCUCCGGCUCCCUCUCUCAGAUUGCUCCCUGAACAGUAUCACAUAAGCUCGCCCAUCGGGAAAUAUCUCAAAUUGUACCAGCCCAUCGGGCUCCCUCUCUCAGAUUAGUCUCAGAACGGUAUCACAUAGAAACUGUUACGGCGUGCAGCCAGAUCCACAUGUCACUGCGGCAUGCAGCCCGAUCCAUACGGAUACUCGUGCUCAUUGUGGGGGUGCAGACUCCGAAGGGGCUCCUAAUCCCAAGCGCUAAAUUACUGCGGCAUGCAGUCCGAUCCAACAUAUAUAUACUGCUGUAGCGUGCAGACCGAUCCAUAUAAGUAUCGUUGCGGUGUGCAGCCCGAUCCAUAUAUAAUCCUCACAUCCGGCCGUCAGCCCACAUAACUCAGUCAGUGUAUCAUCACAAGCCUCUCGGGCAUUAGUAAAAUAGUAGUCGUCAGCCCAGAUUAUCAUUUAACAUAUCAUUUAAGACUCAAAUCUGAUUAAAAGUGGCUGGAUGGUAAAAUAGUGGAGAAACAAUAUGACUGAGUUCAAGUAAUAAGUCAAAACAAUGAGGAGACAGUAAAAAUAAUCCCUGCACGAAGCCCAAACAUGACAAUCAGCCUAAACUAUGAUGAUAACAAGUAGUUUCAGUCAAAUACGCGGUAAAAAUUAACAGCCAGGAUGGACCAAGUCAUAAUCCCCCCACGCUCAUAUUCAGCGUGAAAGUCACCUCAAUACAGUACUAUGAUGUGCAAAUCCGGGGUUUCAGACCCUCAGGAUAUUAUUUACAAGUAUUACUCACCUCGAACCGGUAAAAUCUCUAGCUCGCGACGCUUUUGCCCCUCAAAUCGACCUCCACACACGUCGUAUCUAACUAAAAUCAGAGUGAAUAUAUCAUAAUAUGCUAAGGGAAUAAUACCCAAUCGAAAACAAUCGAGAAAUAGCAAAAAUCUCGAAACUAGCAAAACCCGAGCCCCGGGGCUGCUUACCGUACAAGACUCAAUUACCGGAUUCCUCAUCUCGCCACGAGUUCAUACAUACCAAUAACUCCCAAAUCCGAGCUCAAAUGACCUAUCAUAUCCCAAUUUGAAAUAUCAAAAACUCAAGCACUAGCUUUACCCCUUUUUGAGGAAUUUCAACAAAUUUUCAUGUUAAAUCGAUCAUAAUCUCGUGUAUUUAGGUCAAGGAACUUACCUCCAACCAAUCUUCCUUGAAUCCCUCUUCAAUUUUUUCCAAAGAGCUCUCAAAAUACUCAACAAUGGAGAACUAAAACUCGCGGAUGAAAUGUUUAUAAACUCACUGCCCAGCUCCUGCAUUUCCUUCUACGUGAUCACAACCUAGGCCCCACGAUCGCGUAACACAAAAAUCCAGUCUCUCAAAAUAUCUCUACGCGAACGUGAUUAAAGCCCUGCAAACGCGAGGCACUACCAACUAAUACUACGCGAUCGCGAACCUCUCACACGAGAACGCGAUGGCUAACCACUUCCAUUACGCGAUCGCGUGGCCACUAAUGCGAACGCAUAGGCCAAAUUUCCUUGCCCUCAAAUUUACAAUACGCAUCCGCGACUUACCCCAUGCGAACGCAAUGAACAAUAUUUUUUUGCAACACCAACAACUGAAACCUGCAAUCUCAAGUCAAAAAAUGGUCCGAUUGACCCUCCGAAAGCACCCUGAGGCCCCCGGGACCUCAACCAAAAGCACCAACAUGUCUAAAAACAUUAUCCAAUCUUGUUCCAAUCAUCACAACACAUCAAACCAUACUGAAAUCAUCAAUUCUCAUCGGAUUCAAGCCUAAUAUCUUUAAAAACUUUCGAAACGCGCAUUCUAUCAAAAACUCAACCAAACGACGUCUGAAUGACCUGAAAUUUUGCACACACAUCACAGCUACAACAACUCUCAGAAUUCCAUUCCGAGCCCCGGGUCAAAUUCUCACCUACCAACCGGAAUUCGCCAAAAUACUAACUUCGCCAAUUCAAGCCUAAUUCUACACCAGACCUCCAAAAUCAAUUAUGAUCACACUCCUAAGUCGCAGAUCACUUUCCAAAGCUAACCGAAUCACCGAAAAUCACAUCUGAACUUUCUAACUCAUAAGUUAACAUCUGGUUGACUUUUCAAAACCAAACCUUCUUUAAAGAGACUAAGUGUCUCAUUUCCGACCCAAAACCAAUCCGAAUUAUCAAUAACACACCGAAUACCGAUAGCGAUACAUGAAGAAGCAUAAAAUGGGAAAAACGGACAAUCCACAUUAGACAACGGGUCGGGUCGUCACACAAAGUAUACCGGUCCAGCCUUCAUAUACAAGUGCACCGAACUCUAGUACAUUAUGCUGGACCGGUCUCUGUUGCAGCAAAAUAGUGACUAUUUUUCAUUGACUUGAUAAACGCUGGUUAUUUUUGAAUGACCAGUCCGAAAACUGGCUAUACCGUGCUAUUUUUACUUAACUUUUGGCCUUUAAGGUUUGGCCAUAAGGCAUCCGCAAGUCAAAAAGCCCAACCUUGUCCAAAAUGUUUGAAUAGGGCUAAAUAAAUAUAAGGCCCAAUUUCAUAUAUUUUGACCCGCAUAUUGUAAACGGGCCCAUCUUGUUGAACUAGGCUUUGAAUGAAAAAAUUGACAACUAAAUAUCUUAAAAAAGCAAUUUCAAUUUGCUUGCAGUUCAUGGUAUUUCGCAGCUUAAGUUUGACUUAUAAUCCACAGUUAGUUUCUAAAUUUCCUUUGAAUUCAACUUUGUAAUAGUUCUGGAUUUCGGAACUAUAGUUAUUUUCUUUCUAUAAAUAAAAUGGUAAUGAUUUUAUCUUAAAAAUUUCUGGGUCAACUUUCUCAUGAACGAAUUAUUCUAUUUUAAUUUGUCACUAAUUUCCAAAUAUAAUUUAAUGAACUGAUAGCAAUUCUACAAUAUUUAAUAACAUUAAACAGUUAUGGGCUAUAAAUCUCAUCAAAGUUUCAAUAAUUUGACCAUAAGAUUGAAGUAGCCCAUUUCAAUUGGGACCAAUAAACUUCUAAUUAAGACCAGAUCAUCCACUUUCUUUUAUAUACAUUAUAUAACUAAAUAGGCUAUUGGUGAAUUCUCCUGUAAACAGGCCCGGGCCUGAAUAGGGACUGGACCGGGCCCGCGAUCCUGACGGGCUUGGUGGGCCGGUCUCAGGCCUGCCGGUCCUAUAGGCCCGUGACAGGCCGGUUUAGAAGUGAAGAACCGCCAGGCCCGGGACCGCCAGACGGGCCUGGGCCGGUCCUGGCGGGCCCAACAGCUCUUUUUUAAAAAAAAUCAGUAACGACUCUUUUCAAAAGUAGCCGUUUGGAACUUUGUAAAAUAGCCAUUUGGCUAAAUAUCUUUUUAUAUAAAAAAAAAUCAGUAACGUCUCUUUUCAAAAGUAGCCGUUUGGAUCUUUGUAAAAUAGCCAUUUGGCCCCCAAACUUUAAUUUAACCUCAAACUUUAUAUAAUUAUAAUUUUUCCCAUAUCUCAACUAUAAAUACCCCCUCACUCUUCCAUUUUUAUUCACCAAUUCAUCAAUAUCUCUCAAUCUCUCUUUCAAUCUUUCUACUACAAUUGCUUAAUUUAUUGUUGAAAAUUCGUGAAAAAAUGUGAAGUUGUUGAAUUGAAGUUUUUAAAUGUUCAACGAUUUUCAAUUUUCAAGAAGUUGUUCGGCAACCCGGUAAACUCGUUUCUACUCUUACGUUUUAAUAAUAUAUUUUUGUGUUGUUUAAUUUGCAUAAUUAUAAUUAGUAUGGCAUUUUCUUUGAAAAAAUAUUCGGUAAAGGAAAAGGUAAAACCGGUGAAACUAGUGGCCAUAAUACUACCCUUCCCCCAGCUCCCCGACCUACAAAAGAUAAGCAAGUUGAAAGUAGUAGCCAACNNNNNNNNNNNNNNNNNNNNNNNNNNNNNNNNNNNNNNNNNNNNNNNNNNNNNNNNNNNNNNNNNNNNNNNNNNNNNNNNNNNNNNNNNUCCCGUAAUUCUUGAUAGUAAUCACCCUUGUUUUCAAUUUACCGAUAGUGAAUUUCUACAUGAUGUUGCAGUAGGUGAUAGAUUAGAUGAUGAAAUUAAGAAUGCUUUUUGUCCUAAUGAACCUAUCUUAGAGGAAAAUGAGGAUGAUGAUGAUGAUGAAACCAAGCACCAUAUUUAGAUGAUACACCUACUAAUCUUGUUCAUAACUCAAGUAAUGCACCAGCACGCCCACCUACUAGCUGAUUUGUUUGUUAAAUUUGGUGAGGGUGGGGAUAUUUAUGAACUUGCUAUAAAUGAAAUGAAACAAAACUUUAAAAAAUAUUUUUUUCCCUAUCCCUCCUUUUUUUGGUGUUGCUUCAAUGUUAAAUCCUACAAUGAAAUUGGGAGGUCCUCAUUUUUGGUAUUCAAAUAUUUAUAAGGAUUUAGAUCUUUCAAACGAGGAAGUUUAAAUCCUACAAUGAAAUUGGGAGGUCCUCAUUUUUGGUAUUCAAAUAUUUAUAAGGCUUUAGAUCUUUCAAACAAGGAAAUUGUUACACUUGCAGAUGCAAAAGCAUCAAUUAAAAUUAAUGCUCAAAGUGUUUAUAAUACAUAUAAAGUUGCGUUAGAGCAUUCUAGGCCAAAUAUUCCAACCCCUACUUCGUCUAGCUCACAAUCGUCUAAAAGAGCUGCGGGCUUAACAACUCUUAUAUCUUGGAAGGAGUUCCGGGGUUCUCAAGGAGAUAAUUAUGAUGAAACUUCACAUCUAGAUGAGCUUCAAGUUUAUUUGUCUCAGGGACUUGAAAAGGAGAAUCCAGACGGCUCUUUUGAUCUUUUGGAAUGGUGGAACAAAAUGAGCUUCAAAUUUACUUGUCUCAGGGACUUGAAAAGGAAAAUCUAGACGGCUCUUUCGAUCUUUUGGAAUUGUGAAAGUCAAGGGAAAAAUAUCUUCCGGUUUUUGCAAGGAUGGCUCGGGAUGUUUUAUCAAUUCAAGCUUCAACUGUUGCAUCGGAGAGCGCUUUCAGUCAAGCAAGACUACAAAUCGGUGAUCAUAGAGAGCUGAUGAGAGAUAGCUUGAAAAAAUCGGUGCUUUUUAGAGAUUGGAUCCUCGCGAAAAGAAGAAACUUUGGAAUUGCAGAAUCACAACCGGCAAUAGAUGAAGCUUAUGAAGAAAAGAAACUUUGGAAUUGCAGAAUCACAACCGGCGAUAGAUGAAGCUUAUGAAGAAAUGAUAGUGGAACUUUCGAAGAAUUCGGCUUCGCCUGAAAGUGGUGAUGAACAAGCUUCGUUUCCACCACCACCAACACAACCUCCUCCCAACCUUGACGGAAUUAUGAGAUUUGUUAGAGAUACAAUGUAGAUUAUGAUGUAACUUGUACAUUGGCACAUUUUCUUUUAGUUUUUUUUUCCUUUUAAUGGUGGUAUUAGUACCUUGUUGUGCUCAUUCCAUUGGAGGAAGGAAGAUUAAGAAAGAUAUGCCAUUUUGGGCAAUAAAAAUUAUAAGACUUAUCCUUGAAUAUCUAUUUUCUUAAUAUUUCUUUGUCUUUUAUAACAUAUAUACAAAAGAUAUAAUAUAUAUAAGAGAAUAUAUAUACAAUAUACAUAAGAGAUACAAUAUUAUACUACAACAAAAUAUAUAUACAUAAUAUACAAUAUAUAUACUACAUAAAAUUAUAUAAGAGAAUAUAUAUAUAUAUAUAUAUACACACACACACAUAAGAUACAAUAUAUACUACAAGAAAAUAUAUAGAGAAUAUACAUAUAUACAAAAUAUACAAUAUAUACUAAUUAGUAUAACACAAUAUACUAAUUACUACAACACAAUAUAUACAUUAUAUACAAUAUAUACUAGUUAUUACAACACAAUAUAUACAUAAUAUAUAUCCAUAUAUACACUAUACUAAUAACUACUAUACAAGAUAUUGCCUUAAAAAAAACCACGUCAGGACCGCCAGGCCCAUGGGCUUAGGCCCGUCACGGGCCGGUCUCAACCGUCAGGACCGUCAAGCCCACCAGACCCGGCAUACGAAGCCCGAGACCGCAAAACCCGGCCCGUGAAGCCCGUUUAGGCCCGGGCCCGAGCCAGUUUACACCCUUAUUAAUAUGGGUCGCUCACCUAAAUGGCGACAUCAAAAAUCAAAAUACUAUCCACUUACUCUAACUAAUGACAAACAAAUUUAAAAAUUUAUAUGAAAAUAUUUAUAGAGGAAUAACUUUAGGUAAAAGGCAGAUUAUCUAUCUAAUCUACUGAAAAUCAUACACUAAAAAUAUAUGUGGGGCUAUUUGUGUUUAUACACGAUGUUCCCUUUGUAGUAGCCAUUAAAGUGGACGUCCAAUUCUGUGCUACAUAUGAUUUGAUGGAUAGAUCUUUCAAAUAUAUACAUAUAUGAAAAACAAAUAUCCGAGUGGCUAAUCGAAUAUUUAUAUCAAAUAAAUACAAGAAUUAUGGGUAGGUUGAAAGUUAAUCACGCACUUAUAAAUUUUCGUCACAAUUAACAUGUGCUUUCGAAUAAUAAUUUAUAAAUUCCACAAAAUCAUACAUUGAUACAUAAGCAAAGUUGAUAUAUUCCCUGUUUGACUAAACAUUUAAGCACAACAAUGAUGAAAAACAAUACUAGCAUUACUUAAACAUACUUUUACCUACCAUUUUAUUCUUUCAGCCAAAAAAUUUAUAGAUUUAAAGAGAAAAUACUACUUUAGUAUUCGAAAUAUAUAGCACUAAAAUCCUAGAUGUGUAUUGGUAAAAAUUUGGAUUAGACUUAAUGAGCGCAAAUGGACGUGGUCAAGGACUAGACUAACCACGGCAUAAGAGCGAGGAGUCGCCUCAAGAAAGAUUUGUUAGUAGACUGUAUUUGUAAAAUAAUUCUGGAAAUAUAAAUUAACAUAAACAGAAAUUAUAAUAAACAGAAAUAACAUAAAACAAAAUGAUCAUAAACAAUUCGAGCCCAUUGAAUUCACAGUGUCUGCUUAAGGAAUUUAAUCCCCUUCUAGCACCCAAGGUUAUGGAUUAUUUCCUCCCAAGAUAGAACGAAUUACACACUGGUGUAGUGGUACUCCACACGUCAGUGUUUCUGCUAACACAAAUAUCAGUAGCAAAUCAUGCUUACUUUUUGCUUUGUUUGUAUGCUAAAAGUUUGAAAAAGAAGGAGAGAAAACUCAGAAAUUCAUAGUGAAAUUCUGAGCGGAAUAGUGUUGUAUUUAUAGUCAAAAUUUGGGUAGGAAUCUGAAGAGGUGAAUCUCUUCAAAAUGGUUGUUUUUGCAAAACUGCCACAGCAUAAAUGUCAUUAUAUAAAUGGCUAUUUACUCAACAAUAAAGAGGGAAAAUUGAUGGGUAGUUAAUUUUCUGUUACAAAAAAAGAAAAACGGAUUGGAUUUAAUAUUAAUAUGUAAUAUUAAUAUUCUGUUAUUAACAAAUAUUUAAUAACAUAUUUGGUCCAAAAAGUUAAUCAAUCGAUCGAUCAUUUGACCAAAUCCAAAUUCGAAGCCGAAGCCGAGCGAGCGACGCGACGGUGCGAGGCUUGCUUCCUUCUUAACUCUUUAAGAUCUAGAAGAAGAGCAAUUGCUUAUAAACCCAUAAAAAUCUCUUCCACUUCCAAUAUGGGACAAUGUCCAUAUGCCAAGGGAGGGAAACUUGAAAUUUCACUCAAAAAUUUCAUUUUCCUCCAUUUCCCAUUCAUCCUCUUUUAAGUAUUUAAUUUAUUAAUUAAAUGUAUAAACCCAAAAAUCCACCACAAUGGGGAAUGGCUAUAUCGCGGAAGUAUGCAUAAAAAAAUGUGUGAUUCGCAAGCAAGGAUUAAUUGCAUCUGGAUAAGUAGGUUUACCUUUGAACUUUUCGUAGUGAACUUAUGUCGGAUAUACUCGAUCAAUCGGUAGAUUUGAUAUCNNNNNNNNNNNNNNNNNNNNNNNNNNNNNNNNNNNNNNNNNNNNNNNNNNNNNNNNNNNNNNNNNNNNNNNNNNNNNNNNNNNNNNNNNNNNNNNNNNNNNNNUCACACAACCAACCCUUAACCGUCUUUGGUUCUCAUUGUUGUGUUCGUUUCAGCCAUGAAUACCGUCUGGUUUCAUAAGUGCGUAGAGAACUGUCCUUAAAAAAUUCUCCUUGAAGAGGCUAAAACUUCACACUUACAUAGGCGAUUCCUAAAUGUGUCAUCCCGUAGAUACACUCAAACAUAGAAAUCAUUAAAAAGCCUUAAUGCUUUAUCCUUUGUACUGAACGUUGUCUCAUCAAGAGAAUGGAUCAAAAGUUUAGUUGACAAUAUUGAACCGUCAUAAAUGACUUUGUUUGAUAUCCUUAGGCCUAGAUCUUGAGAUCUCCAGUCUUCUAGGUAGAGUUACUGCCACUAUGACUUGUCCUCGGUCACAGUCCCAUUCCCCUUGAUGACUUCUCAACUACCUCUCUAGUUAGGCGUUUUGUAAGUGGAUCCAACACAUUAUCGCUUGACUGUACAUAGUCAAUCGUGAUAAGUCCUCUAGAAAGUAAUUGUCUAACGGUUUUAUGUCUUCGGAGUAUAUGACGAGAUUUACCGUUAUACAUAACGCUCCCAGCCCUUCCAAUUGUUGCUUGACUAUCAGAAUGUAUGCAUAUUGUUACCAACGGUUUGGAACAAAAUGGAAUAUCUUCCAAGAAAUUACGGAGCCAUUAAGCUUCUUCACCGGCUUUAUCCAAGGCUAUGAACUCAGCCUCUAUUAUAGAGCGGGCAAUACAAGUUUGUUUGGACGACUUUCAAGAUAACGCUCCUCCACCAAUAAUGAACACAUAUCCACUUGUGGACUUAGAAUCAGUUGAUCCGGUGAUCCAAUUUGCAUCAUAGUAUCCCUCAAUGACUGCAGGAUAUUUACUGUAGUGCAAAGCAAAGUCCUGGGUAUGUACUACAUUACAGUAUCCCUCAAUGACGGCAAGAUAUUUACUAUACUGCAAAGCAUAUGUACUAAAUACCCCAAAACUCAUUUCAUGGCCAUCCAAUGAGAUUGACCUGGAUUGCUCGUAUAUCGACUAAAUUUAAUUAAAGCACAAGCUAUAUCUGCUCAUAUAUAAUUCAUGAUGUACAUUAAGCAUCCCAACACACGAUCAUAAUCCGAUUGUGAUAUGCUUUGGCCUUUGUUCUUUGCUAAUGCAAGAUUCAUGUCAAUUGGACUCUUUGCAACUUUAAAGUCCAAGUGCUUGAAUUUUUCAAGUACUGUCUUAAUAUAAUGAGAUUGUGACAAUGCAAGACCUUGAUAAGUCUUAUGGGUCUUAAUUCCCAGAAUUAAAUCAGCAACUCCCAAGUCUUUCAUAUCAAACUUAGUUAGCAUACGCUUAGAUUUGCAACUUUAAAGCCCAAGUGCUUGAAUUUUUCAAGUACUGUCUUAAUAUAAUGUGAUUGUGACAAUGCCAUACCUUGAGAAGUCUUAUGGAUCUUAAUUCACAGAAUUAAAUUAGGAACUCCUAAGUUUUUCAAAUCAAACUUGCUAGUUAGCAUACGCUUAGUAGCAUUUAUGUUGGCAAUGUCAUUACUCAUUAUGAGCAUAUCAUCUACAUAUAAGCAAACAAUGACUAUUGUAUGUAUCAAAAUAGUCAAGACCUUCUUUUUGUCUAUACCAUUCGACCACAAGUUUGCCUUAUAUUUGUCAAUAGUGCCAUCAUCUUUCAUUUUCCUCUUAAAGCUCAAUUUAGAAGCCAACGGUUUAUUUCCAGGAGGAAGAUCAACCAAUUCCUAUGUAUGGUUGUUCAGUAUGGAUUCAAUUUCACUAUUGAUUGCCUCUUUCCAUAACAAUGAUUCCGGAAGAAGAAAUAACUUCUUUAAAUGUUUGAGGCUCAUUUUCCAAUAAGAAAGUCAGAAAAUCUUGUCCAAAUGAAGUAGACAUUAUUUGAUGUUUACUACGUCUUGGAUCAUCCUAUUUAAGUGUACUUUCUUUUGUUUCUUCCUGAGGUCGUUUAUAUCCUUCACUAAUCGACUCACAUUCCUUUUUAUACGGAUAUAUAUUUUCAAAAAAUUCAGCACUAUCUGAUUCUAUAACCGUAUUAUUAUGAAUGUUGGGAUUUUCUGAUUUAUGAACCAGAAAUCGAUANNNNNNNNNNNNNNNNNNNNNNNNNNNNNNNNNNNNNNNNNNNNNNNNNNNNNNNNNNNNNNNNNNNNNNNNNNNNNNNNNNNNNNNNNNNNNNNNNNNNNNNNNNNNNNNNNNNNNNNNNNNNNNNNNNNNNNNNNNNNNNNNNNNNNNNNNNNNNNNNNNNNNNNNNNNNNNNNNNNNNNNNNNNNNNNNNNNNNNNNNNNNNNNNNCAUUUCUCAUAUGGAAUUGAUUGUGUUUUGCUAUGGGGUACUCGAUUUAGUAUUCGGCUAGCCGUAAGAACGGCUUCCCCCCACAAGUUCUGUGGCAAACAAAACUUAUCAAUAAUGUGUUCAUCAUCUUCUUUAAUAAACGAUUCUUUCUUUCUGCAAUCUCAUUGGAUGGGGGGUGUAAGGGGCUGUUGUUUGAUGAAUAAUUCCACAUUCUAAACAUUUUUUUUCAAAAGGAGAUUCAUAUUCACCACCCCUAUCACUUCAUAUCAUUUUGAUUUUCUUGUUAAGUUGUGUUUCAACUUUAUAUUUGUAAUUCUUGAAUGUGUCUAUUGCUUCAUCUUUACUAUUAAGUAAGUAAACAUAGAAAUAUCUAGUACUAUUGUCGAUAAAAGUUAUGAAAUACUUCGUUCCACCGCGAGAUGGUAUUGACUUUAUAUCACAAAUAUCUGUGUGAAUUAAGUCUAAAGGAUUUGAAUUCCUUUCAACUGACCUAUUAGGAUAUUUAACAUACUUGGAUUCCACACAUACUUGACAUUUUGAUUUGUCACGUUCAAAUUUAGGCAAUACUUUCAAAUUAAUCAUUUUUUGUAAGGUUUUAUAAUUAACAUGACCCAAACGUAUAUGCCAUGAUUCAUUUGACUCAAGCAAGUAAGACGAAGUUGAAAUUUUAUUAUUAUUCUCCACAACCAUUACAUUCAACUUGAAAAGGCCCUCAGUGAGGUAACCUUUUCCUACAAAUAUUUCAUUCUUACUUAUUACAACCUUAUCGGAAACAAAAACACACUUGCAUCCAUUCUUAAUAAGUUCAGUAGAGACUAAAUUUUUCCUAAUUCUGGGAACAUGAAGGGCAUUGUUCAAAGUCACCACUUUGCCGGAAGUCAUUUUGAGACAUAUCUUCCCACAUCCUUCAAUCUUUGCCUUUGCAGCAUUUCGCAUGGAAAUGGUCUCAUCGGGUCCAACAGGAGCAUAAGUAGCAAAAGCUUCCUUGACAGCACAAACAUGGCGAGUGGCUUUAGAAUCAAUCAACCACUCUUUCGGAUUGCCCACCAAUUUGCAUUGGGAAAGCAUGACGCAUAAGUCAGCAACAUCAUCAUGCUUUUCUACCAUUUGCUUGACGCUUCUUCUUGUCUUUCUUCGGAGCACGACACUACGUAGAUUUGUGUCCAGUUUUUCCGCACAUGUAGCAGUUUCCACUAAACCGCUUCUUACUUAGGUUGUAUUUCGCACCAGAAGCUUUCUUUCUCUUCUUGUUCUCUUCAACAAUAUUUGCUCCCAUUAUUGUUGAACUCCCACGGCCUCUGUUUUCAGCAGCUUUGUUGUCCUCUUCAAUUCUCAGUCUAACGAUGAGAUCUUCAAGGGACAAUCUCCUUCCGUUUGUGUUUCAAGUAGUUUUUGAUGUCCUUCCACAAAUGAGGAAACUUCUCAAUCAUUGUUGCUACUUGAAAUGCUUCAUUGAUGACAAGACCUUCAAUGAAAUUUCCGUUAGUAAGAAUACUAAGAUUACUACUUUCAACAUCAAUAUUAAUUUGAUCCAUACCUUUAGCAAGGAGAUCGUGUAUAAUCACUUGCAGUUCUUGGACUUGAGUAAUAACAAAUUUGCUAUCUACCAUUUUAUAGUCCAAAGACUUUGCAGCCACGAACUUUUUUAACCCGGCAUCUUCAGUUUUAUACUUCCUUUCAAGCGCAGUCCACGGUUCUUUUAACGUUUCCACGCCACUGUAGACAUUAUACAAAGCAUCCUCCAACCCUCUAAGAAUAUAAUUCUUGCUCAAGAAAUCUGAAUGCUUCCACGCCUCAGUCGCGAGCAAGCGUUCAUUAUCAGGAGUAGAAUCGGCCAACACAUGGACAUCUUCCUUGAUGAACUUCUGAAGACUUAAGGUAGUCAAAUAGAAGAACAUCUUUUGCUGCCAGCGCUUGAAAUCAAUCCCGAAAAAUUUUUCGGGUUUCUCCGCCGGUGUCAAUGCUGCUGGUGUUCAGCUCGUUGAUGCAUUGGUUGUCACCAUUGGAACAGCUUGGUUCUCAUUCUCAUUAGUCAUUUCUGUAAAAGAGUGACACCAACGUUAAAAUCACGUAGAUUUUAAUAGAGUACAACACCGCAAAGGUUUUACUCUCUAGAAAAUAAUAAUACAAAUACAGAAAUAUAUUUUAAAUUCCAUAAGCUUGUUAGUAAACUGUAUUUGUAAAAUAAUUCUGAAAAUAUAAAUUAAUAUAAACAGAAAUUAUGAUAAACAGAAAUGACAUAAAACAAAAUGAUCAUAAUCAAUUCGAGCCCACUGAAUUCACACUGUCUCCUUAAGGAAUUUAAUCCUCUUCUAGCACCCACGGUUAUUGAUUAUUUUCUUUCAGGAUAGAAUGAAUUACAUACUGGUGUAGUGGUACUCCAAAUGCCAGUAUCUCAGCGAACACAAAGAUCAGUAACAAAUUACACUUCCUUUUUACUUUGUUUGAUGCUAAAAGUAUGCAGAAGGAGAGAAAACUUAGAAAUUCGUAGUGAAAUUCUGAGCAGAAUAGUAUUGUAUUUAUAGCUAAAAUUUGAGCUAAAAUCUAAAAAGAUGAAACUCUUCAAAAUGGUUGUUUCUGCAAAAUUGCCAUGCAUUAAAGAACUUUUUUCCGAACUCAUUCGAUUAAUUUAAUAAUAUCCGGUCCCUGUUCUUUUCACUUAUUUUGGCUCUUUCGUAGCAUAACACUUAAUCGUCAUUUUGCCUUGCUUUUCGCUCAUUUAUCGAAUGCGAAAGAGAAAGAUACAAAAAAAUUAAUUAAAAGAUAUACAAAAAUAAAUAAGUAACCCAUCCUAAUUAAAUGUAUAAUUUCCACCAACUGCAGUGGUUACAAAUAGUAAUAUAUUAUACAAUCAUCUCAAAACCUACCUAACAAAUGAAUCUCCCCCCUCCAACUCCUAACCCAAUCUUAAUUCUAAAUAAAUUAAGUAAAAAGUAAAAGAUGAUUCUAAAAAAUUAAAUAACCUCCAAAUAUACUCUGUGUCUAAACUCUAAACUUGUGGCUGGAGCUAACUCUCCUUUCUCCAAUAGAAAGUGAGUAGGUGUUGUCCCUCUGUAUUUGACACGUAAAUCUUUUCGAGGUGACUCGGCGCCACCUCACGUGGGCCAUGCAAGUGCGUCCACACGUGAUAACACCCCUAAAUUCCGACAAAAUAAGGUGGGCCUCCGCCUAAUAUUUGGGUUGUCAGCAGAAUGUCAGAGCAAAAAGUUAGAAGAGGUGACGCAAUUGCCAGAUGGCAGUCAACAUGGCGAUGGAACCGGCCACGGACGGUGACCUAAGCACGUGCAUGCACGUGGUUGAAGAUGCACUGCUGAUAUCCCAUGCACCAUCGUACACCAUAGAGCCGUUGAUCGUAGAUGGUACAUUGUUGUUGCUUUGGUUAUCUUCAUUUUGAUUUUGCCCACCGGUCGAUGAUGAUUUUUGGCUGCAAUAUAAUUUAGAAAAACUUAGUCAGCAGCAAUUCAGAUUCAGGUAAAUUGGACUCGGCUACAUAAAUUUUUUAUUUUUAUAUUAAUUUCAAUGAAAAAUCACAUAGAUAAUUAAGAAUGAAUCUCUAGGUCAGAUCUUACUUAUGAAUUACACCAACUUUGUUUGUAUUGUCGUUUAGAAUGAAGCUGGUUACAUCGACACUCUCUCAAGUCUCAAAAACAAUAAUUAUUACGCAAUUAUUAAGUCCAAAAUCUAACGGAUCGUGAGAAUUUUUUGUCAUUUAGUAUUAGUUACUGAAAAUAAAACAGGAUUUACCAAAAACUACUUCCUCCUUAUAUUUUUACUUGUCAAAUAUAUUAAAAAUUGUUAUGAAAUAUUAGAUUAUGGUGGAUGUCCAUAACUCCUAUAACAUCCACUAUUUUUAUCCAUUAUCUUCAUAACUCCCACUGCUCCUCCCACUGCUCCAAUACUUAUGGUUGUAACUCCCACAUCUCCAUGAUCUCCCCCAUGAUCUUCCUCCAUGA
Molecule: long non-coding RNA, 25345 nt
Filed under: Nicotiana benthamiana
Lineage: Eukaryota; Viridiplantae; Streptophyta; Magnoliopsida; Solanales; Solanaceae
Description: long non-coding RNA (NBEN_LNC035372)
Source: RNAcentral